CUUGUUGGUGAGAUAACGGCUCACCAAGGCUUCGACGGGUAGCCGGCCUGAGAGGGCGACCGGCCACACUGGGACUGAGAUACGGCCCAGACUCCUACGGGAGGCAGCAGUGGGGAAUAUUGCACAAUGGGCGAAAGCCUGAUGCAGCAACGCCGCGUGCGGGAUGACGGCCUUCGGGUUGUAAACCGCUUUCAGUUCCGACGAAGGUAACCUGACGGUAGGAAUAGAAGAAGGACCGGCCAACUACGUGCCAGCAGCCGCGGUGAUACGUAGGGUCCGAGCGUUGUCCGGAAUUAUUGGGCGUAAAGGGCUUGUAGGCGGUUUGUCGCGUCGGAAGUGAAAACUCAGGGCUUAACCCUGAGCCUGCUUCCGAUACGGGCAAACUAGAGGGAUGCAGGGGAGAACGGAAUUCCUGGUGGAGCGGUGGAAUGCGCAGAUAUCAGGAGGAACACCGGUGGCGAAGGCGGUUCUCUGGGCAUUUCCUGACGCUGAGAAGCGAAAGCGUGGGGAGCAAACAGGCUUAGAUACCCUGGUAGUCCACGCCGUAAACGGUGGGCACUAGGUGUGGGGAACAUUCCACGUUCUCCGUGCCGCAGCUAACGCAUUAAGUGCCCCGCCUGGGGAGUACGGCCGCAAGGCUAAAACUCAAAGGAAUUGACG
Molecule: ribosomal RNA, 660 nt
Filed under: uncultured Actinomycetes bacterium
Lineage: Bacteria; Bacillati; Actinomycetota; Actinomycetes
Description: SSU rRNA
Rfam family: Bacterial small subunit ribosomal RNA
Source: RNAcentral